RNAcentral lists this small nuclear RNA (306 nucleotides) under Octodon degus (degu). RNAcentral describes it as "7SK RNA (ENSODEG00000024708.1)". It matches the Rfam family "7SK RNA". From Rfam's summary of the family: 7SK was discovered as an abundant small nuclear RNA in the mid-70s but a possible function has only recently been suggested. Two independent studies have found that 7SK RNA binds the CDK9/cyclin T complex (known as elongation factor P-TEFb). Lineage: Eukaryota; Metazoa; Chordata; Mammalia; Rodentia; Octodontidae. The record is from Rfam by way of RNAcentral.
GGAUAUGAGGGCAAUUGGGCUGUGACAUCACUCCUCACCCCAUUGAUCACCUCCAUUGUUGAUUUGGCUGCCCUAGCUGGCUGAGUGACUGUCCCCUUCCUCCUUCACCACAGCACAUGCCCCCGUCCUUAAGCUGCACAUUUGGUCAGAGGAUGACCUCCCCUAUUAGAGGACUGUUCCUGGGUCAAGGGAAUGUGAGUAAGCUGAGUAAGCUGUGCUCCCUGCUAGAACCUUCACAAGAACUCUCAAGGAGUAGGGAAGGGCACCUGACCUGUGAGGACAGGCUCCCAGAUCCUGAGGAAGUCU